Molecule: ribosomal RNA, 253 nt
Filed under: uncultured bacterium
Lineage: Bacteria
Description: partial 16S ribosomal RNA
Rfam family: Bacterial small subunit ribosomal RNA
Source: RNAcentral
UACGUAGGGGGCAAGCGUUGUCCGGAUUUAUUGGGCGUAAAGAGCUCGUAGGCGGCUCGGUAAGUCCGCUGUGAAAGUCGGGGGCUCAACCCUCGGAUGCCGGUGGAUACUGUCGGGCUUGAGUACGGAAGAGGCGAGUGGAAUUCCUGGUGUAGCGGUGAAAUGCGCAGAUAUCAGGAGGAACACCAAUUGCGAAGGCAGCUCGCUGGGACGUUACUGACGCUGAGACGCGAAAGCGUGGGGAGCAAACAGG